RNAcentral lists this transfer RNA (74 nucleotides) under Candidatus Omnitrophota bacterium. RNAcentral describes it as "tRNA-Trp". It matches the Rfam family "tRNA". From Rfam's summary of the family: Transfer RNA (tRNA) molecules are approximately 80 nucleotides in length. Their secondary structure includes four short double-helical elements and three loops (D, anti-codon, and T loops). Further hydrogen bonds mediate the characteristic L-shaped molecular structure. tRNAs have two regions of fundamental functional importance: the anti-codon, which is responsible for specific mRNA codon recognition, and the 3' end, to which the tRNAs corresponding amino acid is attached (by aminoacyl-tRNA synthetases). tRNAs cope with the degeneracy of the genetic code in two manners: having more than one tRNA (with a specific anti-codon) for a particular amino acid; and 'wobble' base-pairing, i.e. permitting non-standard base-pairing at the 3rd anti-codon position. The record is from RNAcentral. Lineage: Bacteria; Pseudomonadati; Candidatus Omnitrophota.
GGGAAGAUGGCAUAGCCCGUUAUUGCGGGAGGUUCCAAACCUCCAGGUCGUGGGUUCGAAUCCCACUCUUCCCA